CUAGCGUUGCUCGGAAUCACUGGGCGUAAAGCGCACGUAGGCGGCUUCUUAAGUCGGUGGUGAAAUCCUGGAGCUCAACUCCAGAACUGCCUUCGAUACUGGGAAGCUCGAGUCCGGGAGAGGUGAGUGGAACUGCGAGUGUAGAGGUGAAAUUCGUAGAUAUUCGCAAGAACACCAGUGGCGAAGGCGGCUCACUGGCCCGGUACUGACGCUGAGGUGCGAAAGCGUGGGGAGCAAACAGG
Molecule: ribosomal RNA, 242 nt
Filed under: uncultured bacterium
Lineage: Bacteria
Description: partial 16S ribosomal RNA
Rfam family: Bacterial small subunit ribosomal RNA
Source: RNAcentral